This 140-nucleotide ribosomal RNA is filed under the name Liodrosophila aerea. RNAcentral describes it as "partial 28S ribosomal RNA". Lineage: Eukaryota; Metazoa; Arthropoda; Insecta; Diptera; Drosophilidae. The record is from RNAcentral.
AAAAUAUCAUUAACGUUAUACGGGCCUAUCACCCUCUAUGGGUAAAUGGCCUCAUUUAAGAAGGACUUAAAUCGUUAAUUUCUCAUACUAGAAUAUUGAUGUUCCAUNCACUGCAUCUCACAUUUGCCAUAUAGACAAAG